UGCCAUAGCUCAGUUGGUAGAGCAAAGGACUGAAAAUCCUUGUGUCGCUGGUUCGAUUCCAGCUGGCACC
RNAcentral lists this transfer RNA (70 nucleotides) under uncultured Owenweeksia sp. It matches the Rfam family "tRNA". Rfam says of the family: Transfer RNA (tRNA) molecules are approximately 80 nucleotides in length. RNAcentral also lists the same sequence under 2 other names. The record is from RNAcentral. Lineage: Bacteria; Pseudomonadati; Bacteroidota; Flavobacteriia; Flavobacteriales; Owenweeksiaceae.